CAGUAGCCGCGGGAAUACAGAGGGUGCGAGCGUUAAUCGGAUUUACUGGGCGUAAAGCGUGCGUAGGCGGCUUCUUAAGUCGGAUGUGAAAUCCCUGAGCUUAACUUAGGAAUUGCAUUCGAUACUGGGAAGCUAGAGUAUGGGAGAGGAUGGUAGAAUUCCAGGUGUAGCGGUGAAAUGCGUAGAGAUCUGGAGGAAUACCGAUGGCGAAGGCAGCCAUCUGGCCUAAUACUGACGCUGAGGUACGAAAGCAUGGGGAGCAAACAGGAUUAGAUACCCCAGUUAGUCCCUGUCUCUUAUA
RNAcentral lists this ribosomal RNA (301 nucleotides) under uncultured bacterium. Its description in RNAcentral is "partial 16S ribosomal RNA". It matches the Rfam family "Bacterial small subunit ribosomal RNA", at positions 509 to 808 of the family's 1533-position model. The record is from RNAcentral.